ACCGAAGUGGUGAAAUAGGUAGACACGCUAUCUUGAGGAGAUAGUACUUAAUUUUAAAAGAGUAUACGGGUUCGAAUCCCGUCUUCGGUA
RNAcentral lists this transfer RNA (90 nucleotides) under Buchnera aphidicola (Cinara cuneomaculata). Its description in RNAcentral is "transfer RNA Leucine". It matches the Rfam family "tRNA". Rfam says of the family: Transfer RNA (tRNA) molecules are approximately 80 nucleotides in length. Lineage: Bacteria; Pseudomonadati; Pseudomonadota; Gammaproteobacteria; Enterobacterales; Erwiniaceae. The record is from RNAcentral.